Magnolia sinica is the source of this 774-nucleotide long non-coding RNA. RefSeq lists it as uncharacterized. NCBI's taxonomy places the organism in Eukaryota, Viridiplantae, Streptophyta, Magnoliopsida, Magnoliales, Magnoliaceae. The record is from RefSeq and is a predicted model, not a curated record. The transcript is spliced from 4 exons.
CCUUUCUCUUCUUCUAAAUUUCUGAUCAUCCCGUUUUCCUAUUCUAGGGUUAGAAUUUUUAUUUCCCAUUUCCGAUCUUUCCCUCUCUCUUCUACGCAAGAGGGAAAGCAUCGGUGUUGACGAUGAUUCCAUCAAUGGGGACGAUUCGAGUGUCAGCAACAAGUUUGUAGAGGUGACCAAUGGAAUUGUAUUGUAAGGGAGAUUUUGAGCCAUGGUCCAUCCACUGGGCCAUAGGAUCUAUGGUCUAGAUGACCAAAACAUGGGCUACAUUUGUACGAAGGACCUGAGGAUGCUUGUUUAGUAUGGAUGGAGAUUUUGCACCUGUGAUUGAACUUGUGGAGCUUCGGAAGAAGCAUGGAGUUUUAUUGGUCAUUGAUGAUGUAAGUGUGGCUUCUAAUUCCAAUUAGAGCUGCAUGAUUGUGUCAUAAAAAUAGUGAUUAAUCUGAUGCACUGACAUUUACCUGGAGUUUCCUCAGGCCCUUAGGACACUAGUUUGUGGCAACCAUGGUGGUGGAGUGGCAGAGCAGUUUGAUUGUGAGAAUGAUGUAGAUAUAUGCAUCGGAACUUUGAGCAAGCUGCAGGUUUCCACGAUGGUUUCAUUGCAUGCAAAUUUCAUGCAUGCUAACUGUUUAAUGAAAUGGCUCAAGGUCCUUUGCCUAGGAAAUGAAGGUGAGUACAUAGUAAUUUAGCCUUCUUCUUUUUUCUUAUCACCUUUUAUUUUGUUGCAAACUCCAAAAUACAUGUAUGGUAUUCUUAUUUCUCUACUUCGUAACU